This 484-nucleotide ribosomal RNA is filed under the name uncultured bacterium. RNAcentral describes it as "partial 16S ribosomal RNA". It matches the Rfam family "Bacterial small subunit ribosomal RNA", at positions 30 to 507 of the family's 1533-position model. The record is from RNAcentral.
AUUGAACGCUGGCGGCAUGCCUAACACAUGCAAGUCGAGCGGAUGAAUGGAGCUUGCUCCUGGAUUCAGCGGCGGACGGGUGAGUAAUGCCUAUGAAUCUGCCUGGUAGUGGGGGAUAACGUCCGGAAACGGGCGCUAAUACCGCAUACGUCCUGAUGUAGAAAGUGGGUGAUCUUCGGACCUCACGCUAUCAGAUGAGCCUAGGUCGGAUUAGCUAGUUGGUGGGGUAAAGGCAUAACAAGGCGACGAUCCGUAACUGGUCUGAGAGGAUGAUCAGUCACACUGGAACUGAGACACGGUACAGACUCCUACGGGAGGAAGCAGUGGGGAAUAUUGGACAAUGGGCGAAAGCCUGAUCCAGCCAUGCCGCGUGUGUGAAGAAGGUCUUCGGAUUGUAAAGCACUUUAAGUUGGGAGGAAGGGCAGUAAGUUAAUACCUUGCUGUUUUGACGUUACCAACAGAAUAAGCACCGGCUAACUUCGUG